This 465-nucleotide ribosomal RNA is filed under the name uncultured bacterium. RNAcentral's name for it is "partial 16S ribosomal RNA". It matches the Rfam family "Bacterial small subunit ribosomal RNA", at positions 28 to 507 of the family's 1533-position model. The record is from RNAcentral.
GACGAACGCUGGCGGCGUGCUUAACACAUGCAAGUCGUACGGUAAGGCCCUUUCGGGGGUACACGAGUGGCGAACGGGUGAGUAACACGUGAGUAACCUGCCCACAACUUUGGGAUAACGCUAGGAAACUGGUGCUAAUACUGGAUAUGUGCUCCUGCUGCAUGGUGGGGGUUGGAAAGCUCCGGCGGUUGUGGAUGGACUCGCGGCCUAUCAGCUUGUUGGUGGGGUAGUGGCCUACCAAGGCGGCGACGGGUAGCCGGCCUGAGAGGGUGACCGGCCACGGUGGGGAUGGGAUACAGCCCAGACGCCGACGGGGGGCAGCGGGGGGGAGUGUUGGAAAACGGGCUCAGGCCGGAGGCAGCAACGCGGGGGGGGGGAUAAUGGGCUUGGGGUUAGAAGCGGAUUUCAGCGGGGCCAAGGCUUUGUGUGACGGGACGGGCAGAAGAAGAACCGGCUAACUACGUC